UCCAUCAUGGUGUAGUGGCUAACAUUAUCGCCUCUCAUUGGCGUAUGUUGGUCUGACGCGAUAGCCCAGGGUUCGAUUCCCUGUGAUGGAA
Dendrothele bispora CBS 962.96 is the source of this 91-nucleotide non-coding RNA. The record is from the annotation of a GenBank genome assembly. NCBI's taxonomy places the organism in Eukaryota, Fungi, Basidiomycota, Agaricomycetes, Agaricales.